AAACGCAGCUGUUUGAAAUAACUUCGGAAUAACAACCAUCACUAGGAAGUUAUUGAAUACCAUCAUCCCCUGGCCAGCAACUUGUGCUGCACGCAGACCUCAUGACAGAACGACGAUAAAAAUGCCAGGGCUAAUUUCUACCACCGUGUCCAGCGCGUCGCAUUAAUCCAGGCAGCAAACUGUAAGGAAUGUGUCAGGGACUACGAGAACGUUGCCCAUUCCUUGUGUUUCUACGUGAAAUGCAUUUCUAGCCACACCCAUAAAGAACUUGUCUCUCCUGACAGUACACAGUGGGCACCAAUUUGCUUCCUCAAGAUUUCAGAAUGUGCAUCUGAGGACUUAGGCUGCGCGUCGUAAAGUUUCCCUCAGCAACUGCUAAAAUUAUUCACAAGGCACUGCAGCAUG
Molecule: long non-coding RNA, 405 nt
Organism: Pseudopodoces humilis (Tibetan ground-tit)
Lineage: Eukaryota; Metazoa; Chordata; Aves; Passeriformes; Paridae
Source: RefSeq, a predicted model, not a curated record